CGGAGCAGCAGAUGCACCUCCAGAGCAGGUUCAUCAGCACCUACUAAACACAGCAGCUGACUUGUUUGUGCUGACAAAUCCUCUCCUCUUUGCCCGCCAACAGCCGUGAAGCCUCUUUCCUUCCCCCGGAGCUGGAGGGAGCAGCGUGGUGGAAGGGAGGGUAUGGGAGCUGCCGGCCCUGCGGCGCUGGGCGCGGUGCCAGAUUCCUGCCACUGCUCUGCAAACGGCCCGCGUUCGUUCAGGCUGCUUGCAGUGAUGAGGCACAAGCGUGCCAGGGCUUAAGGCUGCACAGCCGAGAGCUGAACUUGGCUCCCAGAACCGGCUGAGUGUGCAGCAGGAGCUUGGAACCCCAGGAGGAGCAGGGAGUACAGUUCUGCAGCUCCACGGGUGUUGCAAGCUACCACUGUAGCUCCUUGUCACCCCUUUGGGACGCUCCCAAAGAUGCUUCACCUACCCAGUUCUAUCCGGCAGCAAUCCCGGUGACAGGCUGAACUGCUCAAGGGAGAAGCUAAUGCCCCAAACACUGGCUGGAGCUGAGGGGUUGAAACUCUAUGCUGGGGCGGGAGACGCUCAGGGGAAUUUGCAACAGCAGAUGGUGAAGAAAAGAAAAAAGGACAGAGCACACUGCCUGCAGGCACGGGAACACAACACCCCGGGAGCAGUGCAGAGUGAACAGCCAAAGGUCACACAAUGACCAAACAAAGUUUGUUCCAUCUAACAAAGUGGCUGCUGCUCAACCACCACAUGGCCCACAAACCUGCAGCCUCUGCGUGUGUCACCAUCUCCUCGGGCAGCCACAACGUGGCACAUGCACGGAGCAAGCUCUUCCUCCUUCACCGUGCCUGUUUUCCCACUUUAGGACCUAACAGAAGAUCCUUUCAACAACAUUUCCUUUGAAAAAUAAUCCAUCCAGCUCUGUUUUUGGAAAGUGCUGCAUGCCCUGCACAGGAAGAAGUUAAUUACUGUCCGGGGGGUGAGGGCGUGUGUUCUCAAAUGUUUUAAAUGUUUAAUUUUCUUGAAAGAAAAACCAGCUCUGAUCUCUGUUGGAUCCUCUCCCUGUUUACACAGAGGGUUUCUAUUAGCAGGGCCAACAGUACAUCCCUGACUGCCACGUCCGUGUCCUUUUCUUCUUCCCUCAAAACAGGAACCCCUCCCAAGGGGGGGUGUGUCCCACCUCUCCGUGUGCCUCUCUCCAGGGAGCAGGGCUGGCCCAAGCACUCCUGAUGCUCUCUUCCACUAAGGGCUGCUCCAUCAAGACUCUGAGCUGGGGUGAAGCAGCUGGCUGAUGUGACUCUUCCUUUUCUGCCCACUUGCCAGGAAAACACGGAAAGAGGGAAGGGUUACCCCCUUCACAGCCCCUUCUGGUAAGGGCUUCUGAGCAAAAUGCCAGAGAGACCUUUGCUGGUGGGCUCAAACCAGCUUCUGCUCACAUGAGCUGGCAAUGGGGCAUGACCAGGAGAGGUAUCCACAGCUAUUUCACGUACAGUUUACAGGCAGAGAGUGUCCCACAGACAUCUUGAAGAGUUCCUACUGCAAGGACAUCACAGGAUGCGCUGAGGCAGCAGCACACAUGGGACAAGGGUUUUGUAGCAUCUUUCACA
Molecule: long non-coding RNA, 1601 nt
Organism: Pogoniulus pusillus (Red-fronted tinkerbird)
Lineage: Eukaryota; Metazoa; Chordata; Aves; Piciformes; Lybiidae
Exons: 3
Source: RefSeq, a predicted model, not a curated record